AUGGGGGAAUUCUCCAAGGAAUCUUGCCCUUCCGUGAAGAACAUUUUGCUACUGGAUUCUGAGGGGAAGCGUGUUGCUGUGAAGUACUUCUCCGAUGAUUGGCCGAAUAACGCAUCUAGGUUGACCUUUGAAAAGUCCAUUUUUACUAAAACUCUGAAGACAAAUGCACGCUCCGAAGCUGAGAUAACAUUGCUUGAUGGUUAUAUUGUUGUUUACAAGUUUGUACAAGACCUACACUUUUUCGUCACUGCCGGAGAUGAUGAGAAUGAGCUCAUCAUAGCAAAUGUGCUACAGGGUUUUGCUGAUUCGGUUGGUCUUCUACUCAGGGGUGAUGUUGAGAAGAGGACUGCACUUGAGAACUUGGACUUGAUUCUUCUCUGCAUUGAUGAGAUUAUUGAUGGCGGGUGUUGGGCAUCAUACUCUUGUGCCAUGUCAACAUUCUGCAGCAUGUUUAUGUUGUAUUGUUGUCUACUUUUUAUUUUAUGUCCAUUUUCUGGGAGCUCUCAUGGAGUUUCCUUAAUAUAUGGGAAAAGCAUAAUUCUUGAAACAGAUGCGAACACCAUUGCGGGGAAGGUUGCAACCAAUGCUGCUGACGGCUCUGUUCCCUUCUCUGAGCAGACAAUAUCUCAAGCUCUGGCCACAGCCAGGGAACACUUUGCAAGAUCUCUUCUGAAAUGA
This 678-nucleotide ribosomal RNA is filed under the name Triticum aestivum (bread wheat). Its description in RNAcentral is "partial small subunit ribosomal RNA". The record is from RNAcentral. Lineage: Eukaryota; Viridiplantae; Streptophyta; Magnoliopsida; Poales; Poaceae.